GUCACUUUGGCGGAGUGGUUAACGCGCUGCCCUGCUAAGGCAGUUCCCUCGGGAGCGUAGGUUCGAAUCCUACAGGUGACG
RNAcentral lists this transfer RNA (81 nucleotides) under Thermothelomyces thermophilus ATCC 42464. Its description in RNAcentral is "tRNA-Ser (GCT) (tRNA-Ser-GCT-2-1)". It matches the Rfam family "tRNA". From Rfam's summary of the family: Transfer RNA (tRNA) molecules are approximately 80 nucleotides in length. Their secondary structure includes four short double-helical elements and three loops (D, anti-codon, and T loops). RNAcentral also lists the same sequence under 1 other name. Lineage: Eukaryota; Fungi; Ascomycota; Sordariomycetes; Sordariales; Chaetomiaceae. The record is from RNAcentral.